RNAcentral lists this ribosomal RNA (775 nucleotides) under uncultured Neocallimastigales. RNAcentral's name for it is "partial large subunit ribosomal RNA". It matches the Rfam family "Eukaryotic large subunit ribosomal RNA", at positions 19 to 634 of the family's 3401-position model. The record is from RNAcentral. Lineage: Eukaryota; Fungi; Neocallimastigomycota; Neocallimastigomycetes; Neocallimastigales.
CGAGCACGCGCGUGUGGCAUAUCAAUAAGCGGAGGAAAAGAAACUAACAAGGAUUCCCUUAGUAACGGCGAGUGAAGCGGGAAGAGCUCAAAUUUGAAAUCUUCAAGGUUCUACCUUGACGAAUUGUAGUUUAUAGAAGUGUUUUCUGUUAGUGGAGUGGCAAAAGUUCUUUGGAAUAGGACAUCAUAGAGGGUGAGAAUCCCGUGUUUGGUCAUUCCUCCUAGCGUUGUGAUACACUUUCAACGAGUCGGAUUGUUUGGGAAUGCAGUCCAAAAUGGGUGGUAAAUUUCAUCUAAAGCUAAAUAUUGGCGAGAGACCGAUAGCGAACAAGUACCGUGAGGGAAAGAUGAAAAGAACUUUGAAAAGAGAGUUAAACAGUACGUGAAAUUGUCAAAAGGGAAGCGUUUGACGCCAGUGUUGUUUUUCCGAAAAUCAAUUACGAAUGUUUUGUUUUUGAGGAGUUAUGACUUCAUCGGCUUGCUCCUUUCUUUACGAAACUUUCUUAAUGCACUUUUCGGUUAACAAGUCAACAUCAAUUUCUUUUGUUGUAAAAGGGUAUGAGGAAGGUGGCUUUACUUUCGGAGUAAAGUGUUUAUAGCCUUGUGACUCUACAAUCGGAGAGAUUGAGGUCUGCAGCGUAGAUCCUUCGGGGUUAGAUACGUUUGUGCUAAGUUAUAGCUUUUCAUAGACAACUUGUUGACUAUGUUUAGUCUUGUAGAUUACUCGCAGAUGCUAUUUUACCUACGCUUAGGAUGUUGAACUCUAUCACACACAG